RNAcentral lists this ribosomal RNA (435 nucleotides) under uncultured bacterium. RNAcentral's name for it is "partial 16S ribosomal RNA". It matches the Rfam family "Bacterial small subunit ribosomal RNA", at positions 29 to 507 of the family's 1533-position model. The record is from RNAcentral.
AGCGAACGCUGACGGCAGGCUUAACACAUGCAAGUCGGGCGGGCAUAGCAAUAUGUCAGCGGCAGACGGGUGAGUAACGCGUGGGAACGUACCUUUUGGUUCGGAACAACUGAAGGAAACUUCAGCUAAUACCGGAUAAGCCCUUACGGGGAAAGAUUUAUCGCCGAAAGAUCGGCCCGCGUCUGAUUAGCUAGUUGGUGAGGUAAUGGCUCACCAAGGCGACGAUCAGUAGCUGGUCUGAGAGGAUGAUCAGCCACAUUGGGACUGAGACACGGCCCAAACUCCUACGGGAGGCAGCAGUGGGGAAUAUUGGACAAUGGGCGCAAGCCUGAUCCAGCCAUGCCGCGUGAGUGAUGAAGGCCCUAGGGUUGUAAAGCUCUUUUGUGCGGGAAGAUAAUGACGGUACCGCAAGAAUAAGCCCCGGCUAACUUCGUG